AUCACUCACUCACCCCCAUAAAAAGAACAACUCAAAGAAAUACAACAGUUGUUUAAUGCCUUUUUUUAUUUGUAUUAAACCACCUUAAUUAGUUUAAAUAUUGUUUUCUCUAUUGCUUAUAAAAUCAAUUUGUGUUGUUUUUGUGAUACAUGAUUUACGUUUAACAGAGUGUAUGAAAAUAUGAGACAAUUAAAGCACUUAAAUAAUUAAUUAAAAAUUAAUUAAAUUAAUCCACAUUGUUUUUUUUGUAAUUACAUUUAGGAUGCACUUAGGUGGGAGCUCUGGGCCGUUACCGAUAUCCGAUAUUACACAUGUAUAAUUCUGCCGAUGCUCAUAUACACAUUUAUAACUAACAGAGAGAUUAUACACCACGGUAUAACUUUAGAAACAAAUGUAGCAUGUAUUUGCAUUAUAUUGUAGUCAUUGUCUGCCAAUUGUAGUAGCUCAGCCAGUGCUGCUUGGUCCUUCUCCAGUAUAGUAUUUUCCAGCAAGAAUCGGUUUGAAACAUUGACCAAAUCUUACCGUCAGGCUAAUGCCAAUGUUUCUCUAAAAAUGCAAUUACUGUAUGAUACUGUACGAUAAUUUAGAAAUUUGAAUGCAUGCCUAAUUACACUUGUCCUCAGCCUGUAGUUUAAACUUUAACUCGGACAAAUAAUGGUAUUAUUUUACCAUAACAGAUAUCAUAUGCUGUCAUGUGCAUCAGUUACCAUUAACAGAAAUUGUAAAGGCAAAAGAAGCCAUGAAUUUUAAUUGACAUAAUCUGUCACGAAAGUCAUUAUUCAUGAUAACAUGACCCUUUUUUUAUAGUUGUAGGCAUAUAAUAUGUAAUGACAGUCAUCACUCAUAAUAACAUGACAUCUUGUCAUAUUAAAGUACAUAAUCUAGAAAAGUGUCUCACAGUACUGUUCAUAGUCAUUAAUGAUUUACUAAAUUUACUAAAGUAAAUAGAAAUGUAUCCACUAGAGGGAGCAAUUUUGUGAUGGUAAUGUUGCCAAAGUUUAUUUCUAGAUAUGAACAAGAAGUUAUUUGUAGGCCUCUGACAGCUUAUAUUAAACUGAUUUAAAUGUUUCACAAUCAUCCAUAGUAUUAAUGAAUACACGUUUUACAGUAAAUGUUUUAAAAGCUCUUAUUUACACAGGAGUUACAGAGAACAAAGGUGAUCCCAAAUAACUGUGUGAUGCAGCAUACAGGACCAUUAAGGCUGACCGAUAAUAAACACAGGAGAUGCAGAGGACGAAGAUUAUUCCAAAAGCUGUGUGACGCAGCACACAGGACCAAUCAGAGGGCUGUCCGAUAAAAAACAGAGGCCACAUUUACCACUAAACGAUUGUGAGAAGAACACAGGAGAUACAGAGGACAAAGAUAAUCCCAAACAUUGUGUGACGCAGCAUACAGGACCACUCAGAGGGUCGACCGAUGAAACCGAUGGUCCUGGCUCCGCUAGCUGAGUGGGCUUCUGAUGAUGUACUGUCCAUAACAGUGGAGGGGAAGGAUCCCUCAAUCUAUGCAGUCCGGGAGGUGCUGGACUCCUGUAGGCGAAGUGAUGUGCUUCAAUAUCUCAUUGACUGGGAGGGGUAUGGUCCCGAGAAACGCUGCUGGGUGCUUGCCAAGGAUGUGCUGGAUCUGGCCCAGGUAGCUGACCUUCAUGCGCGCCAUCCUGAACACAGGAGAUGCAGAGGACGAAGAUUAUCCCAAACAUUGUGUGACGCAGCAUACAGGACCACUCAGAGGGCUGACCGAUGAAAAACACAGGAGAUGCAGAGGACAAAAAUGAUCCCGAACAUUGUGUGGCGCAGCACACAGGACCACUCAGAUGGCUGACCAAUGAAAAACACAGGAGAUGCAGAGGACGAAGAUUAUUCCAAAAGCUGUGUGACGCAGCAUACAGGACCACUCAGAGGGCUGACCAAUGAAAAACACAGGAGAUGCAGAGGACGAAGAUUAUUCCAAAAGCUGUGUGACGCAGCAUACAGGACCACUCAGAGGGCUGACCGAUGAAAAACACAGGAGAUGCAGAGGACGAAGGUGAUCCCAAACGCUGUGUGACGCAGCAUACAGGACCACUCAGAGGGCUGACCGAUGAAAAUCACAUCGAGUCUUGUUCCCGUUUGACUUGUACUCGACAGGGCAUUGAAGACAGGAGACGGCAUCUGAAAUAUUAAAAAGGGC
Molecule: long non-coding RNA, 2169 nt
Organism: Astyanax mexicanus (Mexican tetra)
Lineage: Eukaryota; Metazoa; Chordata; Actinopteri; Characiformes; Acestrorhamphidae
Exons: 11
Source: RefSeq, a predicted model, not a curated record